This is a long non-coding RNA of Hyaena hyaena (striped hyena), 368 nucleotides long. RefSeq lists it as uncharacterized. NCBI's taxonomy places the organism in Eukaryota, Metazoa, Chordata, Mammalia, Carnivora, Hyaenidae. The transcript is spliced from 3 exons. The record is from RefSeq and is a predicted model, not a curated record.
GCAUUUGAAAUGAUCGCCAGGCAGCUGGCAGGUUUCCGUUCAAGAGUCUUGCGUGGAAAGACAGGAAUGAGAAACAAAUUAUUUGAUUUGAAAGAGAAGUAAAUCUUCAGAGCAACGAGGGAGGAUCAAAGAGUAAGUUCGUGUGAACUUAAGAAGUGACCCUUUCCAGGGGAACGUGACUGGACUCUUUCCACGCACUCAACGCAUCUUGGAGCCAGGCUCUGUGCCUCAACUUCUACAGUCACUCUGGCCCCUGCAGCGUGUUGCAAGGUGAAGGUCUUUGCACACUUGGGGGAAAUUCGUGGGUGGGGGGGGGAGGCAGAAAACGGCUGAGAACCAGGCCACCCGAGAGGGAGCCGCUGAGUCUC